This is a non-coding RNA of Lupinus angustifolius (narrow-leaved blue lupine), 106 nucleotides long. NCBI's taxonomy places the organism in Eukaryota, Viridiplantae, Streptophyta, Magnoliopsida, Fabales, Fabaceae. The record is from Rfam.
AAACCAUGGUUAGGGCAUUUUCUCAACAACAUCUGAAAAUGCUCCCAAGCUUCAUAAAAUGCUUCAUAUGCACCUUGUUGAAAAGUCGAUAUCUCAAACUGGGCAU